Molecule: ribosomal RNA, 671 nt
Filed under: Contracaecum osculatum baicalensis
Lineage: Eukaryota; Metazoa; Nematoda; Chromadorea; Rhabditida; Anisakidae
Description: LSU rRNA
Rfam family: Eukaryotic large subunit ribosomal RNA
Source: RNAcentral
AAAAGCCCAGCGCUGAAUCCAUCGGCCACUGGUCGCUUGGAGUUGUAGCGUAUAGGUGCGGCUGUCUGAUCGUGUCGCGCACCCAAAGUCCCCUUGAGCGGGGCCACGGUCCGAAGAAGGUGCUAGACCUGUACGGGUGGCGAGACGGUUGGUUGGUCGCUCCUUGGAGUCGGGUUGCCUGGGAUCGCAGCCCAAAGUUGGUGGUAGACCUCAUCUAAGGCUAAAUAUGGCCACGAAACCGAUAGCAAACAAGUACCGUGAGGGAAAGUUGCAAAGAACUUUGAAGAGAGAGUUCAAGAGGGCGUGAAACCGCUGAGAUGGAAACGGAUAGAGUUGACGGAGCUCUGCUGCAUUCACCCGAUCGGCCUAGCGGUCCAAUGGCUUUGACUUCCUCGAUGAGGGCAAGGCUGCUGGUAACUGUUGGGUAUUUGAUCGGUGUAUUUGCGGCUGGUAUGCGCUGAGGGCUUUGUGAGCGCAUGUCGACGGGCGUGGAGUGGACCAUACCUUUCCGGUGUGGAACCCUUCGCGCUCUUAGGCAUGUCGUUUGUAAAGUUUCAAAAGUGCCGUCUCCGCUAUGGUGCAUCGGUUUUGUCGAGCUGUUGUGGCUUCAGGCUGGUCGCAUGCGACCGUCGGUCGUCGUCAAUGGUCCGUCAAAGCACAGAUGCGCCGAG